This 238-nucleotide long non-coding RNA is filed under the name Lathyrus oleraceus (garden pea). RNAcentral describes it as "Pisum sativum (pea) long non-coding RNA (PSAT_LNC029602)". The record is from RNAcentral. Lineage: Eukaryota; Viridiplantae; Streptophyta; Magnoliopsida; Fabales; Fabaceae.
AAUAUCCCACAUUUUUGUUGCUCCAACAUUAUAAACCUUAACAUGAGAAGACAUACAUUUGUAUGAACAAAAACUAAAUCUUCGGUCCUCUUUGAAUUGAACAUAUUCCUUUUCAAUGAGUGAAUAAAUUUAAUUGUGCUCCAAUUUCUCUCCACAGAAGAUGAAGAACUUGGUUGUGAAAGAACUUUUUUAUUUCUAAAUAGAAUAAUGAACCUAAGUUUUACUUAGGAAAAAAAGU